RNAcentral lists this ribosomal RNA (253 nucleotides) under uncultured bacterium. RNAcentral describes it as "partial 16S ribosomal RNA". It matches the Rfam family "Bacterial small subunit ribosomal RNA", at positions 524 to 776 of the family's 1533-position model. The record is from RNAcentral.
UACGUAGGGUGCAAGCGUUGUCCGGAAUUAUUGGGCGUAAAGAGCUCGUAGGCGGUCUGUCGCGUCGGAUGUGAAAACCCAGGGCUCAACCCUGGGCCUGCAUUCGAUACGGGCAGACUAGAGUUCGGUAGGGGAGACUGGAAUUCCUGGUGUAGCGGUGAAAUGCGCAGAUAUCAGGAGGAACACCGGUGGCGAAGGCGGCGCUCUGGGCCGGAACUGACGCUGAGGAGCGAAAGCGUGGGUAGCAAACAGG